GACGAACGCUGGCGGCGUGCCUAAUACAUGCAAGUUGAGCGCUGAAGGUUGGUACUUGUACCGACUGGAUGAGCAGCGAACGGGUGAGUAACGCGUGGGGAAUCUGCCUUUGAGCGGGGGACAACAUUUGGAAACGAAUGCUAAUACCGCAUGAAAACUUUAAACACAAGUUUUAAGUUUGAAAGAUGCAAUUGCAUCACUCAAAGAUGAUCCCGCGUUGUAUUAGCUAGUUGGUGAGGUAAAGGCUCACCAAGGCGAUGAUACAUAGCCGACCUGAGAGGGUGAUCGGCCACAUUGGGACUGAGACACGGCCCAAACUCCUACGGGAGGCAGCAGUAGGGAAUCUUCGGCAAUGGACGAAAGUCUGACCGAGCAACGCCGCGUGAGUGAAGAAGGUUUUCGGAUCGUAAAACUCUGUUGGUAGAGAAGAACGUUGGUGAGAGUGGAAAGCUCAUCAAGUGACGGUAACUACCCAGAAAGGGACGGCUAACUACGU
Molecule: ribosomal RNA, 496 nt
Filed under: uncultured bacterium
Lineage: Bacteria
Description: partial 16S ribosomal RNA
Rfam family: Bacterial small subunit ribosomal RNA
Source: RNAcentral